ACUUGUACUGUGAAACUGCGAAUGGCUCAUUAAAUCAGUUAUCGUUUAUUUGAUAGUACCUUACUACAUGGAUACCUGUGGUAAUUCUAGAGCUAAUACAUGCUAAAAACCCCGACUUCAGGAAGGGGUGUAUUUAUUAGAUAAAAAACCAACGCCCUUCGGGGCUCCUUGGUGAAUCAUAAUAACUUAACGAAUCGCAUGGCCUUGCGCCGGCGAUGGUUCAUUCAAAUUUCUGCCCUAUCAACUUUCGAUGGUAGGAUAGUGGCCUACCAUGGUGGCAACGGGUAACGGGGAAUUAGGGUUCGAUUCCGGAGAGGGAGCCUGAGAAACGGCUACCACAUCCAAGGAAGGCAGCAGGCGCGCAAAUUACCCAAUCCCGAUACGGGGAGGUAGUGACAAUAAAUACUGAUACGGGGCUCUUUUGGGUCUCGUAAUUGGAAUGAGAACAAUUUAAAUCCCUUAACGAGGAACAAUUGGAGGGCAAGUCUGGUGCCAGCAGCCGCGGUAAUUCCAGCUCCAAUAGCGUAUAUUAAAGUUGUUGCAGUUAAAAAGCUCGUAGUUGAACCUUGGGCCUGGCUGGCCGGUCCGCCUCACCGCGAGUACUGGUCCGGCUGGGCCUUUCCUUCUGGGGAACCUCAUGGCCUUCACUGGCUGUGGGGGGAACCAGGACUUUUACUGUGAAAAAAUUAGAGUGUUCAAAGCAGGCCUUUGCUCGAAUACAUUAGCAUGGAAUAAUAGAAUAGGACGUGUGGUUCUAUUUUGUUGGUUUCUAGGACCGCCGUAAUGAUUAAUAGGGAUAGUCGGGGGCGUCAGUAUUCAGCUGUCAGAGGUGAAAUUCUUGGAUUUGCUGAAGACUAACUACUGCGAAAGCAUUCGCCAAGGAUGUUUUCAUUAAUCAGGGAACGAAAGUUAGGGGAUCGAAGACGAUCAGAUACCGUCGUAGUCUUAACCAUAAACUAUGCCGACUAGGGAUCGGACGGGAUUCUAUAAUGACCCGUUCGGCACCUUACGAGAAAUCAAAGUUUU
This 1026-nucleotide ribosomal RNA is filed under the name Penicillium aurantiogriseum. Its description in RNAcentral is "SSU rRNA". It matches the Rfam family "Eukaryotic small subunit ribosomal RNA", at positions 72 to 1107 of the family's 1831-position model. RNAcentral also lists the same sequence under 1 other name. The record is from RNAcentral. Lineage: Eukaryota; Fungi; Ascomycota; Eurotiomycetes; Eurotiales; Aspergillaceae.